Long non-coding RNA from Daphnia carinata, 2280 nucleotides. RefSeq lists it as uncharacterized. The record is from RefSeq and is a predicted model, not a curated record. The transcript is spliced from 4 exons. NCBI's taxonomy places the organism in Eukaryota, Metazoa, Arthropoda, Branchiopoda, Diplostraca, Daphniidae.
AUGAGAUUAACAAGUAGAAAGCUCGAAGGAACCUGCUUGUUCGUACACUGACGAAGCUGAACAGGAAAGACGAAUGAUUUUUGGAAGUGGAGCUGAUCUUAUAUACUAACUGGGUCGCCAUAGCAACCAUCGGUUGGUGAUCGUCACCGCUUCCUAAGCAACGGAGAAAACAAAGCGUGAUUUAUGCGUGAAAGAUAUUCCAGUUAUUUGCGAAAUAAGGAUAUUGGUGUGAUCCAUCAGCCUUUCGAAUUCAAUUUAAAGUUACAUGUAGGCAACUCGGUCAUUUUAAAACAAGGAACAAAUAUUGUUCAACUUUAACUAACAUAGAACUUAAUCCAUUUAAUUUUAAUGUGGCCCGGUAGCCUUUCCGAGGAAUUCAUUUAUAUUCUUCACCAAACGCAUUUGCUUUUUCUAUUAUUUUUGCACUCGUCUCAGUAACUGGUGACCUACCUUUGAUUAUUGCUCCCAACAACAGGCGCCACGCUCAGUAACCCUGAAAACAAUUGCGUGCGACAGCACGUCGCACUUGGCUGUAGGAAUGCAACAGAUAAACGUCACAGAGGAUUCGCUUAUUUGAUGCUAAAGGCUAGGACGUCAUUCGUCACGCUAUUUGCCUAAGUACAGCCUCUCUCAAUGCAUUGCAAGGGCUUAAAAUUCAUAUCUCAUUGCUUACAUAUCUAGAAAAACGAUGGGGUGGUGCAAUAAUCGCGACAUAUUAGACGCUGCUCUAGUCAGAUUUGUUGUUGACAGAAUAUAAAGUUAUCUCCGCCACACUCACGCGUAUACUGCUUGCCAUUUCCAUGACCUUCAGUACGAAUUUGGGGUUUUCCUGAUUUCUAUUCGUGCCUUUGCGUUUUCGAUGUGUUAGCCAGUUGCGAAACUGAGAUUUCGCACGGAUUCGAGUUUUGCAAAUCAUGGCGAACAAUGCACGUUCUUUAAAUUAUAGCAAUCGUGACUACUGGUCAAUAUGAUUCUAUUUUACGUUUUUCCUCCUGUGCGCAAAGGGAAACAUCCGUCCUAUAAGAACGAACAGAUCUGCUCGUCGUUUGUUAACCAAAGUUUUAUUAAUGAGAUAAGAGAUGACUUGCUACAAAACAUAGCUCAUUGUUAAUUUUUUCAUUGUGAUAAAGACAAUAAGCCUGAUAAAAGUUCUAACACACAACUUAUGUAUAGAAAAUCAAACUGCUAAAAUUGCGUGCUUUUUUUUUUUGCUAGAAAACCAACUGUUAGCUGACAACGGAUGGUUGCGAAACAAACUAUUGUUGCACUCGAAGAUCAUGGAUUCAUUGCGAAGGUGCAUGUUCCCAUGUCGAUGUUAUGCGAACACACCAAUAAUAUUUAGAAAUUUUUGCCGUAACUACUAUUAUUGCUAUUGUGCAGUUCCUGGUAAUCAUAUAUGUUGACAUUGGUGCCCAAGUUGAUCUCGGUUAAAGAAGAGAGGUUCCUUUUUAUACAGGUGCAACAAGUCUCGACUCCGGGCUCUUCAUAGAAAUUUUGGCGGCGGUGGUUAGUAAUUUUAAUUCACAUUUAUUGUACUGGAUAAUAAGUAAGUUUGUGUUAGCAUUACUUGUUUAUUCACUCACUGACGAUUGUUAACAGAUCGGCUUCAUAGAAACGCAAAUUUUCAUUUAUUUAGAUGCUCCAAAUGUCGUCGCCAUGGAUUCCACGUUGAGAAAACACUCGGUCACAAUACUGGACAGAUGUGGCUACAAAUAUCGUCAGUAUGGAAGCCUUGCAGAAACAAAAACUAGUUUGCCGAAAGCUUGCCUGGCACCCUUAAAAAACACAAGGAUUGCGUACUUCUGAAUUACGAAUGCCAGUUCGCGGAUAGGUGCAGCCAUACGUGGAAUGUCAUGUCGCUAAUUGUAGUUGUAUCGUGUUUGGUAAUCUGCAACUUGUUCACAACCUUAUCCUUGCUCUUGUCAAUGGACAUCAUGAAUAAUUAAAGCCUGACGUAUCAUUGGCAUCCACUGCUACUGUGGUGUCCAUGCCUCUGACCUUUUCUGUGUGCAAGAAGCUUACGAACCCGAGGUCUCAACUACACCGAGGACGAUGCUGCGAGAUUUUGGUGAUUCGCUUCGCCAGAAAAUUUUAUCCGGUUGGUAUCUACGACGAUUGAAUAUCGCAAAAGCACGUUUUCAAGUUACUGAACCCUUGCUUCGUUUGGUUCACUGAGAUGGUUGUGACGAGACUGCGAACGUAUGAUGGAAGUUUCAGUACAUAUUCUGUUUAGCCUGUUUAUCUUUUUUGUAUGAUAAUGAACAAAAGGAACAAUAUAUU